This is a long non-coding RNA of Oryctolagus cuniculus (rabbit), 1559 nucleotides long. The record is from Ensembl. Lineage: Eukaryota; Metazoa; Chordata; Mammalia; Lagomorpha; Leporidae.
GUACGAUGAAGAUAUGAAAAGUGGUUGAGGCUUCACUCAGACCAUCUCCCAGCUAGAAUUUUCCUGUUGAAUUCCAACUUGAAGGACAUGGACAUGUGGAAGAACAGAGACUCAACUUCAAAAUAUGCAGAAAAGAAUGGACCCACUACUAUAUUAUAAUUGGUUGUAAGGUGAUGGAAAUCUUGGGAAGUUAGUGGCCCGGUUAGGAAAUGUGUUGACUUCAGGUGAGGCUUGUUUGAAGUUGCACAAAUAUUUUCACCAGGACAUGUUGUUUCACCAUCUUUAAACCUGACUGCAGUAGAAAAAGAACACCUUUUUUUCAAGUCAUAUCAACAAGGGUCCAGCUUGUCUUAUGUCCUUCUUUGAAUCAGACUGAGACUAAGGGAAACCACACUGUGAUUGGCAAAGUGCAGGUCACAGGAAUUAUUAAAUUCAAACUGCACAUACUAAGAAUAUGGGAAAGGUUGGUUAUUCCAACAGCUCCCAUCGGAAGCAAAGGUUUAGAAUGAAAGAAGCCAACAGCACGCACAUGUCCACAGAAGAAUGCAGAUCUGGAAGCUGCAACCUAACAGCUGGGAGAGCCUAGUGCCAAGCUUGAGAGGGAUCCUUCUUCUGUUCUCUUUUCUUAUAGCAAAGUCCUGGAGGUGCAUUAAUCCAGCAAACCUCUGGUGAGCUUCCACUCUGUACCCAGAGAUCAAGGAAAACAAGAGCCUGCCCAAAUCCAUGGCUUGGCAUCUGGCUGAAAGCAGAAACAUGGCACAGUUCUAGUCCAGGAAAGUGGAGCCCUUCUCCUUUCCUUUGAAUGAGUGCUGAGAGCUCAGUCUCCCAAGUUCUAUUGGCUGGAGGUCAUCGUAUGGAGUGAAGUAAUGAAGUGUACCACUGGAGAUGCAGCUGAAGACAUCGGCUGCAGAAGAAAUAUCAAUAUUUCACUCGCGGUGCUAGAAAGCCUGAUGCCCUGCAGAAAACAAAUCCAGUGGAGCAAAGUGGCCAUGGGAAUGCAAAGCAAUGAACACCCUAUUCAGUGGUCUUCACUGGUUCUCCAAUAUUUUCAACACCACUCUCGGGAUAGAAUUCUCCAUAUAAGGACGGCUCCUGCAAGGAAAGGUGGUGAGAAGGGCAGUUCUGCCAUCAACACAGAAGUGACUCCAGAGUGCACCAUCUACAUUCACAAGCACAUCCGUGGAGUGGGCCUCUGGAAAUGUGCCCCAGGCACUCAAAGCGAUCCAGAAGACUGCUGUGAAGGAGAGGGGUCUCCAGAUGUACACACUGAUAGCAAGUUCAACAAAGCUGUCUGGCCAAAGGAGCAAGGAACAUCCUGGACCACAUCCACCAAACAAGCUCUACAUAUCUGGCAUCACUUAAAAAUCUGUAGACACAUAAUGUGGAUAAGUACUGGAUAUCUUUUAGGAGGCCAAAUCACAUGGGAGUCUCUUCCCCCAUAUUUCCUCUCAUGGCCCAAAUAUCCCUCUCCAAAGAUCCAGAUGCAAAAUGCAAAAGAGAGAACAAUUACGACAAUUUAUGCCUGAUGUCAGAUCUGAAAAGAGAUCUGACCCAGAGAG